CCCUUAGACGUUCUGGGCCGCACGCGCGCUACACUGACCAGUGCAACAAGCAUCCGUCCUUGGCCGACAGGCUCGGGCAAUCUUUGAACGCUGGUCGUGAUGGGGAUAGACCUUUGCAAUUAUGGGUCUUCAACGAGGAAUUCCUAGUAAACGCAAGUCAUCAGCUUGCAUUGAUUACGUCCCUGCCCUUUGUACACACCGCCCGUCGCACCUACCGAUUGAAUGGUCCGGUGAAAUCUCGGGACGGCGGCUUGGUCGCUUGCGUCCGACUGCUGAAACUUGAUUAAACCAUAUCAUUUAGAGGAAGGUGAANUCGUANCA
RNAcentral lists this ribosomal RNA (321 nucleotides) under uncultured eukaryote. RNAcentral describes it as "partial 18S ribosomal RNA". It matches the Rfam family "Eukaryotic small subunit ribosomal RNA", at positions 1470 to 1796 of the family's 1831-position model. The record is from RNAcentral.